Long non-coding RNA from Anolis carolinensis (green anole), 8427 nucleotides. RefSeq lists it as uncharacterized. Lineage: Eukaryota; Metazoa; Chordata; Lepidosauria; Squamata; Anolidae. The record is from RefSeq and is a predicted model, not a curated record. The transcript has 2 exons.
CUCUAUCCAGUUUAUUCAGUAUUACAAACUUUGCAGAGCAUAUAAUGCUCUUAAAAUUCACAAUUGCUGAGAGCUAAAUAGUUGUUACUAACUGCCAUCAAGACAAAUUUGACGUAUGGUGACCAUAUGAGCCGGAGACGUCCAAGUCAUGCUGUCAUCAACAGUCUCACUUAGUUUUUGAAAAUUCAUGGUCUCUUUUAUUGCGCUUGUCCAUCUGUAAUAAAGAAUCAUAGAAUCAUAAGAGUUAGAAGAGACCUCGUGGGCCAUCUAGUCAUCCAUCUGCCAAGAAGCAGGAAAAUCACAUUCAAAGCAGAUGGCCAUCCAGCCUCUGCUUAAAAGAGGAGCCUCCACCACACUCCAGGGCAGAGAGUUCCACUGUCGAACAACUCUCAGUUAGGAAGUUUUUCCUGAUGUUCAGGUGGAAUCUCCUUUCCUGUAGUUUGUAGCCAUUGUUCCGCGUCCUAGUCUCCAAAACCGCAGAAAAAAAGCUUGCUCCCUCCUCCCUAUGGUCUUGCUAAUCCCUACUAUCUUCCCAAGCUUUUUUUGUCUUUUGUAGUGAAUCAUGUCUUCUCAUGUUGUGUCCAAUCUAUAAUAGUUUUGAUUUACUCAUCUUGGCUUACAGGAGGAACUCUCAAUUGAUUUAUUCUGGGACUCAUUUAUUUGUCUUUCUAGCAGUCCAAGAUACCUGCGGAACUCUUCUCUGGCACCAGAUCUCAAAUGUGCUGAGUAUCGUCCUAUUAGCAGUCUUCUCUGUCCAGCUUUUACAACUGUACAUAGACAAUGAAAACGCAAUGGCAUGGAAAUUCAAAUAAUGGAUUGAAUAUAACUCCUCACCCACAUAGUAUGAUUAGAAUUUCAAGUUUAAACAACUAGGUUGACCAGCUUAAAAUGGAACAUUCUAGGACAGUGGCUCUCAACCUGGGGUCCCCAGAUGUUUUUGGCCUUCAACUCCCAGAAAUCCUAACAGCUGGUAAAUUGGCUGGGAUUUCUAGGCCAAAAACAUUUGUGGGCCCCAGACUGAGAACCACUGUUCUAGGAGCUAUCAAGCAAUGUAUCUAUCCAGCUUAUAGCAAUUAUGACAAGAGUCUUGAACUCAUGUUUUGAAAAAGAAACCUCUUAUUCCCUGAUGAUGUCAUCUCUCAUAAACUGAAUUGACUUUUAUUUCGAUGUACUGUUUAGUCAUCUGUAUCACUGGCAAGAUGCAGGAUGACUCAUGCUCAGAAGAUGAGUUAAUUGCAGCUUAUGGGUCCUGAGUGGUGACAUAUUUGUGCAUAUUCAAGAGAAAGCAAAGUUAGCAGACAGCGGCAGCAUCUGAAUGUAUUUUCCAGAGAAAGGCCAAAUGAGCAGAUCAUGGAGAUGGUUUUUUUUAUAUGUGGAAUGUCCCAAUAUGAAGAAGUUGCCAGAAGGUGCUUCCUAAUCACUCUUUAUGAAUUCUGAAAGAAAAAUAUUGCAAAGAUUGUUGUACAUCAGUCAUAUUCCACAGGCUAGUUAUGCUGUCCAGCUUCCUGUUUACAGCCCCACACCUUCCAAGUGUAUAGUGUAGCAUCUCUUUAUUCACUUGUCUUCCAGGCAUAGUCUUUUGGGUUUUUCUACUAAGAAUACGACCCCAGGUUCCAAUAGUGAAAGUAAAAAAACAAGUGUAUGUAUAUCUAAACUCUGAAUAAGAUUUAAAGCCUUAGGUGAUACUUCUGCCAGUCAAAAUAGCUCUCCUCCACUGAAAGAAAGAGAAAGAUUAGAGCAGUGCGUGCUUCCAGUAUAAAUUUCUAAUGUAUAAAUUUAUGCAAGUUGUCCAGCAUUAAAACUCCUGAAUUGGCCAGAAACGUAACUGUUUUUGAGGAGUAAUUAUACGUCAUUCUCCUGUUAUCGUUUUUCCUAAAUUUUAUUCCUGUACUUUCUGAAUGAAAUGGACCUUCUUUCAAAAUAUGAAUUAGGUUUCUGUUCGUGUUUCUCAGCACCUCUUCUGCUGCAUAUACUAAUAACACUGUAUGUAGAAAGGGUGGGUUGAAACUUGCUGGUGAAAGGUAGUUUCGUUAGCAAUGGUAUGGCUUCUUUUUUUUCAAAAAUGAAAGAUGCAGUUACUCAGGUGUGGAAAUGAGGCUAUUAGUGACUUGGGCCAACUUUGCAAGAGCAAGUAGAAUGAGGUGGGGAAGCCAAGGUAGACUACCCUCUCCCUACCUAUUCAAAUUGUAUUAAUAACUAUGCUUUUGGUUUAAAAAAGGCAAUAAAACAAAAGCUUUACUUAUUUAUUUUAAAAUCUCCAUCUACAAUAGAAAACUACAACAGGAAAUAAGGAGAUUUAAUCUAGAAUUUAAUUUUUUGGCCCUGUUUUGAAAGAGAGGUGGGUUAAUUUUUGUGCAGCCUGAAGUGAUUAUUCUACAAACUCAAUGUUCUGACCAAACCACACUAAAGACCUCAUCCCAUUGGAGGGGGGGGGGAGUGGGGAUUGUCUUCUUUGAAUGGCAUUUUAUGCGGUUCCAUCUUCAAAGAAGAUGGAGAAUGUACUCACCACCAUCACACAGGAUUGCCUCCUCCCCUUUCUAGCUCAACCAUCCACUUAAUUUCCCAUCACACAGGCUGGCAAUUAUCACAGUUUUAAAACACUACUUCCAAUUGGAUCUUCCCUUCUUCUCUUUGAAUUCUUCCUCUAGAGGAGACUAGCACAUGUCUCCUCAAAAUACUUCUUUCAAUGGGGCUCACACUGUCUUUAAACCAUGAAUGCACAGAAGAAUAGUGGAGGUGUUACGUCCCCCAGAGGUUUGGUUUGCGUUUUUUAUAGUUGUAGGAAUAGCAUCUGUUUGCAUUUGCUCCAGGGUUGCUGCAGAUUCUGCAGCAGUUUGAUAGUUAGGAUAUUAGCAGAGUUUAUAGCCAGUUUGCAAAGCCUUGCUGCUAUUGGCUUGAAAUGUAUCAUUUUGUUCUGGAGACCGCCCCUUUUCCUGGGGAUAGAAGGCUCCAUUUUGAGAAGCCUAUUCUGCCUUCUAGACAGCAUAGAUGUGCUUGUGUGGCCAAGCCAGGCCAACUCUGAAAAGGCCAUCAUACCUGUUUUUAGGUGUUUCUACACGCAUGCAAUGGAGUGGAGUGGAUUUGUGCCUGGCUUUGAAAUCCUCCCAUUUCUACAUGAUGUGGAGACAACUUCCAAUGCUGUGACGAUGAAGUCUCUGAAGCAACCACCAGAAGCAGUCCUGCAUCAUUUGAUGGGCUCCAUGGGAGUUUGUCUUUGAACCGUCUUUGAAGUGUGUAGAAACAGAGGAGGAAAAUUGUGUGAUGAAGUCCUAAGCAGAUUUGGUGGAUCCAAAUGAUUGACAUCAUUGGUUGCUGUCACAGGGUGUGGGGAACCUGUUGCCCCACACUCCACAUAGUCCAGCUUACUGGCUGGGUGAUCCGUCGACCAUCUAUCUAAGGCAACAUGGGAAGCCUCCUGUAUUGCUGCCAUGGUGACAUGCUCCAAGUCACCACCUCUUUAAACACAGAUACCCACUGGAAGUUGUACAUUGUGUAAUGGAAGCCCACGGGCACUGGGCUUAAUGGGCUAGUGAAGUGAAGCAUGAAGCUGAUUCUUCCCCCAUCUGAUGAGAUCAUUUGAAAUGGGAACUUGACACACUGUUGCACAGUGGCUUUAGUCCUUUUGAGAGAGAAAGGUACAAAAGGCGAUGAUGGGAGAUUCCUGUUUGAUUUCUUGGUCUUUGGCCUGUGUACCAUGACUCCUCCCCCAACUUUUGCUAAUGAUAUCCAACUCUAUUUGUCCUUUCCAUCCAAAUCCAAGGAACACAUUUAAUUUCAGAUUGAGUGUUAAACAGUGACAGUAAUGGACUAAUAAUGUUGAGUAUCAGUAAUAUGUAUGAUGAAUAAAUGUGAAACUUAAUCCAAACAAGACAUUGCCACUUUUUGUCAGUUAGAAGGGAGAUCGGAGAAUAGAGAUGCAACUGUCCUUCCACUCAAAAACAGGAUUUGCCAUUUCUGUAUACUCUCAGUUCCGACGCUGAAAUGAUAUUCCCAGUUUUAGUUGUGUUGACACAAUUGAACCUAAUGGACUUGGAUUUUUGUAAUGUAGUCUACAUAUGACUGCCUUUGAAGAAAAUCCAAAAUGUUGCUAACCAGAGCUGGUUAUAGGGAACAUAUAACUCCCUUGUUGCAGUGCCUUCAUUGGGUACUAGUCCAUUUGAGUGUCCAAAAUGGGCAAAAACCUUUUUGGGAUUUUUGAAACUAGAUUCUUCGGUAUAAGUCCCCCCAAGAUUUGUGAAUCUCACCGCCUUCAUAGGUAUGUUUGAUAAAGACACAAGUCUGUGCUAUUCCUUCAUCUACAUCAGACUGCCACUACAUUAUGAUAGUUUAAAAAUGAUAUUUUUUAUCUUAAAAUUAUUUUACAAUUUAUUAGUAGUAGUUCAUUUUAAUAAUAUAAUUUUAUAUAUUUAUAUUAUCUUUUCAUUGUACUUUUAUCAGAAACUUUAAUAGUGCUGGAAGCCACUUUGCAUCUCCCUAUGGGUAAUACAUCAAAUCAAAUCAUAUCAGUAAAUAGCCCAGGCACCUAGCAAGUGUUUAUGAAAUGCUUCACCCAAUAGAAUCUAUCAAGUUACUUUUGCUCAAAGCAAAAUUGGGAGGUUCCUCUCAGGAAGAAGCACUUGUGAGUUUAGAUGGAAACAGAAUGAAUUUCAAAAGACUAGGAAAAUGUCAAGAGUGGGUGGUCUAAACAUGCCUAAGCUUUGCUUCAAGAGAAAUGUUUAAGUCAAUUUGGAAGUUUCCUGCUUGAGAUGUAGCAUCAGGGGAAUUCUGAGGAAAACAAAAAAUUCAGUAAGUCAUUUAUACAUUUUCACAAGAACUCUACACAUUCCUCAUCUGGAGUGCUUGCAUUCAUUUCACAGUCAAGCCUGAUAUCACACACAUACACAAUGCUUCAGGGAUGAGUCUUUCAUGCCAAAUACAUAUUAGGAUAUUUUGGGAUCAAGUUAAGGUAGUCCUUGGUGUUUGCUGAGGUAGACACUGGGUCCUGAGUUUGAUUCCUGGAACUUGUGUAGAUGACAAAAUCCAUGGAUGAUCAAGUCCCAUUACUGUAUAUACAAUGGAAUCAUAAAAUUGUGCCUCUUAUAUGAAAUGAUAAAAUCAAUUUCACCAUAUUUUUGUGGGGAAGAUGUUCAAGCCAUGGAAAAUUGAAUCUGUGAAUGGUUGAAUCUGUGGAUCCAGAGGGCUGACUAUAAUGUUCAAACAUUUGAAUUAACAAGAAUUCUCUUCAUCUGGCAAGACUGCAAACCAAGCAAGAAUGUUAGCAAUGUUUGCAUCCUGUACUCACUGACUGCCAAUUUUCAUCUAGACUGGAUACCUGUACGCUUUUUUCACAUCCUCUCUCUUCUUGCAUCACUUUAAUCUUCUGCCAUUUUAUUCUCUCCUCUCUCUCCUAAAUUACACAUUUUUUUCAUUAUGCACAAGUAAUUUGUAGGUAAGUGCACUUUAUAUGCUUUACAAAAUAGACUAUGCUUAUUUCUUUCUCCACUAGACUCUAUCUGGAUGUGAAACAAGUUGUUGUUCAACUUUUGUUUUGGGAAUUUGAUUACUCUGCUAGAGAAAUCCAGUGAGAUCUGUCACAUUCCCCCUGCCCACAAAAAGCUGUAGCAGGAACUGGUCACCAUUCAACUCAGGGAAGUCUUAAAGGGUUCUACUAUUAAAGUUCAUUCAUAUUAGAUUGUUUAUGUAGACACCCCAAGUACUGAAAUUGUUUCAGAUUUCAUCUAGGAUUGCUGGAAUAAAGAAACAAACCAUAAAAAUAAACUUCUAAAAUAAUGCAUCAGAAAAUCUAUUUAUUUAAAUAUGUAUGCUUGUUCUAUUAUUAGAGGAGUUCAUGGUGAUGACAUAAAAUUAAAAAUAAGAAUUUAAAACCAUACAUUUGCUUGAACAACAUAAAAAUGACUUGAACAUGACAACAGGUUUUUUUAAAAAAACAUAAAGUACCAGAACAGUUGAAAACAUAUACUUGUCAUGGAAUCAAUCAGAUCUCCAGACUGUUGGAGUGCAAUGGUCAAGAAAGCCAUCUCCCAUGUUCUUCCACCACGACAUUGCCAUUUAGGUGGGACAUGGAUGAAGAUCCUCCUCCUGGCAGAUCCCAAGCUUCAGAAAAACUCCCUCAACUAUUUCAGUCCCAAGUCAUUUAGAGCUUUAAAUAUCGCCACUGGAACCACUAUCAAAAUGGCAGCCAACGGAGCCUCUUUAAGACCAGUGUUAUGUGUUGUCUAUAUAGUUCAGUAAUGAUCUUGCUGCUGUAUUUGUUUCUGAAUCAUCUUUAGGGGCAGUCCCAUACGGAGCACAUUAUAGUCAUCGAAUUGGAACAAUGUGGAGAUUACUAGGUUAUCCCUGUCCAGGAAAGGCCAGCCAAUGCUGAUGGAAAAUCCUCUGAACCAGAGUGUUUAUUUGAGCCUCAAAUGACAAAGCUGGAUUACUCCCAAUCUAUGCACCUGUUCUUUCAUGCAGCCCAACCAGAGCAGGUAGCAUAUCCAAAUAGCAGGUUCAAAAAGCAUCUUAUUAGGACUCAAUUUUAGGGUUUUUUGCCCAUGUGCAGCCCAUUAUAGUAUCCAAGUACUGAGGCAACACCUGCACAGCUCCACAUAACAAGGAGAAAUAAAGGGUGCUUCAAAGUGAUGGAUCCAAUUUCAAAGCAGUAUAUUUCAUGAUGGCAAGCUGUUACAAUUACACAAAAAGGCAUCUAGUGGUAAUCAUUGGAAAUGAUGCCCCACUCUUUUAAGUAGUAAGGUUUUCAUUUAUGGAUGGUUCAUGGUUGCGGAAAUAUAAUGAUUUCAAAUAGAGUCCAUCUUUUUGAAACACUCUGAAGAGUUGUUGGGCAUAGUGAUGCCAUUUUAGUUCACUUUUCAAAUUAUAUACAUAAAAUGAAAGUUUUCUUGGGCACAAGGGAACUUCAAAAUACAUAUUAGGAGACCAUAAUGAACCAAAGAUGCAGACGACAAAAUAGCCAGUGUUGUCUAAAUCAUGUAGUAAGAGUACUUGCAAUACUAAUUCCCAAUAUUAAAAAUAUUAUGAAGCAAACAGACUGAGAUUGAUUAUAGAACGAAUUAUAAAUAAGUAGGAUAUAGAAUAGCUAAAAAUGGAUUCAAAAAAAGUAGAGGAAGAAAUUUGGAAUAUCUUUUAAAGAGUUUACGAGAGAGAAAAAUAGAGAAAUUGGUAACCCACUGUUGAGUAAUGUAGUAGAUAAAUGGAAAAAUACAAGAGAAAGUUAAUAGCAGAAGACUCAACGUUAAUCCCAAUUAUAAUGGAAAGGAAAUUUCCAAAAAAUAUUAUAUAAUGGAUAAAAUAUUAAGGGGAAAAUAUGGAUAAAAUAGGGGAUUGGGUAAACGUUGGAACGAAGAAGGAAAGGAUUAUAGAAGAAUUCAGAGAAAUAACAUUUUCAUGGUUCCAUUGUAUUCAGCUAGAACAAUGGUUCAAAAACUGGGUAAAAAUAAUAAUAAUAGAAGUAAGCUUAAUCCAUUUGAUCAAAUAAUACAAAAUGGAAUGGAUAUAGAGGAACAUAAAAAUCUGAAAGCAAUAUCUAGCAAAAUAUACAAGAUAUCAAAUGAAAUAAAGGAAGGAAAAAUAAAGAAUAAAACUCUCAAGGAGAUUUGGGAAGAAGAUUCAGGGAUGAAAAUAAAUGAAAUGGAGGGGUCACCGUUACAGACACAAAGACAUUUGAAAAAAUUAUCAAUAUGAGUUAAAGAAAAUUAUUAUAUGUUGAUAUUGAAAUGCUAUCUAACACCAAUAAAAAUAGCAAAUAUAAACAAAAACUAUUCCAAAAAUUGUUGGAUAGGAUGCUAAGAAGCGGAACAUAUACACAUAUGUGGUGGCAAUGUAAAUAUGUAAAUAAUUUUUGAAGAAAGGUAUCCAAAGAGAUAGAGGAUAUAAUGAACAUCAAAAUAGAAAGAAGUCCUAGCAUAGCUUUAUUAUCAUUACACAAUAAUAAAUAGCUGAAAAAAGAAGAAAAAGAUGUGAUAUCAAAUUUAUUAACAAUAGCAAGACUGCUUACAGCAAGGAAUUGGAAAAGGGAAAGAAAUAUACAAAUAGAAGAGUGGUAUAAGGAAGUAUGGAAAUUGGCAAUAAAUGAUAAGCUGACAUGUAAAUUAAAAAUUAAAAGAGGGAUAUAGAAACAAAAUGAUUUUGAUGAUGUCUGGAAAAAUGUAUUGAAAGAGGAUUCAAAAAGAAAGACGGAAAGUUACCAGCAUGUGAAGAAAUUAAAUUUUGGACAGAUGACAUAUAAAAGAAAUGGCUCGGGGGGAGGAGAGCACGGUGGUGAUGGAUGGAAAAUAUGUAUAGGUGUGAAAAUAACAGUAGAUGCAACAACAACAACAACAAUAAUGUAUUGUAAAAUGUAUUGAACAACAUUAUGUGUUUACUGUAUAACAAAUGAUGUAUAACAAAUGUUUUUAACUGUGAUAAAAUAAAUAUUUUUCUAAAAAACAA